RNAcentral lists this ribosomal RNA (406 nucleotides) under uncultured bacterium. RNAcentral describes it as "partial 16S ribosomal RNA". It matches the Rfam family "Bacterial small subunit ribosomal RNA", at positions 28 to 526 of the family's 1533-position model. The record is from RNAcentral.
GAUGAACGCUAGCUACAGGCUUAACACAUGCAAGUCGAGGGACCGGCGCACGGGUGAGUAACACGUAUCCAACCUGCCCUUUACUCGGGGAUAGCCUUUCGAAAGAAAGAUUAAUACCCGAUAUAAAGGAUGGGGAUGCGUUCCAUUAGGUUGUUGGUAGGGUAACGGCUGACCAAGCCUUCGAUGGAUAGGGGUGCUGAGAGGAAGGCCCCCCACAUUGGAACUGCGACACGGUCCAAUCUCCUACGCGGGGAAGCAGUGAGGAAUAUUGGUCAAUGGGCGCUAGCCUGAACCAGCCAAGUAGCGUGAUGAUUGAAUGCUUAUUGUUCGUAAACUUCUUUUAUAUAAGAAUCUGUAUUAUAUGAAUAAGGAUCGGCUAACUCCGUGCCAGCAGCCGCGGUAAUAC